This is a long non-coding RNA of Pygocentrus nattereri (red-bellied piranha), 1194 nucleotides long. The record is from Ensembl. Lineage: Eukaryota; Metazoa; Chordata; Actinopteri; Characiformes; Serrasalmidae.
CCAAGUGUGGGUGCACUUGGGUUCAUGCAAUAAUAAGAGUCACUACAGUACUUGCAGGCAUUAUUAACAACAUUAAAUUGUCCUAUUAAAUACAACUAAAACAAACUAAAAAGAAAAAAGGGUUAAAAUUGCAAAAGAUUACACAAAAGAUAGUCCACCCUUGCCUUGCAUGUAUCCACUUUUCCUAAUUCUUGCUGACUCUAAGUGUGUGUGUGUGUGUGUGUGUGUGUGUGUGUGUCUGUGUGUGUCUGUGUGUGUGUGUGUUGCAGGUGUUCUGGGUAAAGUGUUGGGGUGUGACUUACACUCCUGAACGUGUGUGUGCUCUGAAAGGAUCAUCAGUUGAUCUCUCCUGCUCUUACAAACACCCUGAAGGACACACAGUAACUGAAUUAGCCUGGUUCAUUAAAGAGCAGGCUGGUGCUGAGCCUGUGGAUGUGAGAGAGGAUGAGGAGUAUCAGGGACGAGUGCAGAAUGACUGUAGUAUCAGAAUCAAUCAACUGAGAGAGAGAGAGAGAGAGGGGGAGAGAGAGAGAGAGAGAGAGAGAGAGAGAGAGAUGCUCAAACAUACAGACUCAGAUUCUACACUGAUGGAGGUGAAUAUACUGGAGAACCUGGCAUCACUCUGUCAGUUACAGAUCUGAAGGUUACAGUGUCAGACACAGACAGUGGAGGAAAGAAACUGAACUGUAGCAGCACCGGCACUCUGCCCAACAACCUCACUUACAUCUGGUGCAACAAAGGACAGCCUAGGAGUCCCUGCAAAUCUACCUCCUGCUCUGUAGCUGCGGUCAGUGGUGCAGUCAGCUACAGCUGUGUAGCUGCAGCAGUGAUUCAAACCCUCCUGUUCUCAUCUACUCCUGGUUUAAGCAGAGAGCAGCUGCAGACGCACCACUGACAACAGGCCAGAAUUACACCAUCACCAACAUCAGCUCCCAGCACAGUGGACUCUACUACUGCACCGCUCAGAACCAGCUAGGACAGCACAGCUCAACACCCACCCGUCUGGAUGUUAAGUAAGUACUUUAAAGUAACUGUAUCGGAGAUUAUACUCAUGUGUUCUGGGACUGUCCAAAAAUAAAGACUUUCUGGAAGGAUAUUAAAGAGGAGUUGGAGAAAAUUCUAGAAGUUCAUAUUCCCACGGACCCAUUACUGUUUUUUUCAACUUAGAAAUAUUAGUAAAGUUAGAAAUUUCCU